CCGAGCCCUUCUCCGCGCGACGCGAAAUUACUGAUGGCACAGACGGCCAACUGUGAGCUUUGAAGCCUCGAAAUGGAAUUUGGAAGCCAGGGGGUUACAGACUUUGACGGUCACAGUUUUUGGCGUAACACCGUAGCUGAGCGUGGGCAGGCGAUGGGAAGGAGGGGCACCCGUGUUAUUCCAGGUCAAUCAACGCAGAGCAUGUGGAAAGAAACGCGCAACGCCCAGACAGCCUGUUCAGAUAAAAGGGCUGCUCUCUCAUUGGGCGGAAAGGGAAUGUGACGCCGCCGGAACUCUGUGCGGUGAGGAGCCAGCCGUGGGAAUGUG
Anguilla anguilla (European eel) is the source of this 327-nucleotide long non-coding RNA. RefSeq lists it as uncharacterized. NCBI's taxonomy places the organism in Eukaryota, Metazoa, Chordata, Actinopteri, Anguilliformes, Anguillidae. The transcript is spliced from 3 exons. The record is from RefSeq and is a predicted model, not a curated record.